UUCCUACGGGGGGCAGCAGUGGGGAAUAUUGGGCAAUGGGCGAAAGCCUGACCCAGCGACGCCGUGUGGGCGAUGAAGGCCUUCGGGUUGUAAAGCCCUGUGAGGUGGAAAGAAGGGCCCAGAGGUUAAUACCCUUUGGGUCUUGACGGUACCACCAGAGGAAGCACCGGCUAACUCCGUGCCAGCAGCCGCGGUAAUACGGAGGGUGCAAGCGUUGUUCGGAAUUACUGGGCGUAAAGGGCGCGUAGGUGGUUGUGGAAGUCAGAUGUGAAAUCCCGAGGCUCAACCUUGGAACUGCAUCUGAUACUGCAUGACUAGAGUACAGCAGAGGGAAACGGAAUUCCUGGUGUAGAGGUGAAAUUCGUAGAUAUCAGGAGGAACACCGGUGGCGAAGGCGGUUUCCUGGGCUGAUACUGACACUGAGGCGCGAAAGCGUGGGGAGCAAACAGGAUUAGAUACCCUGGUAGUC
Molecule: ribosomal RNA, 469 nt
Filed under: uncultured Syntrophorhabdaceae bacterium
Lineage: Bacteria; Pseudomonadati; Thermodesulfobacteriota; Syntrophorhabdia; Syntrophorhabdales; Syntrophorhabdaceae
Description: bacterial SSU rRNA
Rfam family: Bacterial small subunit ribosomal RNA
Source: RNAcentral